GGAAUUUUUCGCAACGGACGCGUGCAAUCUUUCUAAUUAGACCCUAGAACAUGUUUGGGAGUGUUUCUGAGCAUUCGGUUACAGCACGAAAAACGAUGCAAAACGGGUGCAUUUCGGCAGCCGAAUGCACUAUUUCCGGGUAGCGAAACUCGGGUUGAUUUUUUCGCAACGAACGCAUGCAAUCUUCAUAAUUAUACCCUAGAACAUGUUUGGGAGUGUUUUUGAGCAUUCGGUUCAGGAACGAAAAAUGAUGCAAAACGGGUGCAUUUCAGCACCCGAAUGCAUAUUGCCGGGUAGCGAAACUCGGGUGGAUUUUUUCGCAACGAACGCAUGCAAUCUUCCUAAUUAUACCCUAAAACAUGUUUGGGAGUGUUUUUGAGCAUUCGGUUCCGGAACGAAAAAUGAUGCAAAACGGGUGCAUUUCGGCACCCGAAUGCACUAUUGCCGGGUAGCGAAACUCGGGUGGAUUUUUUCACAACGAACGCAUG
RNAcentral lists this long non-coding RNA (488 nucleotides) under Setaria viridis. RNAcentral's name for it is "long non-coding RNA (SVIR_LNC006922)". The record is from RNAcentral. Lineage: Eukaryota; Viridiplantae; Streptophyta; Magnoliopsida; Poales; Poaceae.